This 487-nucleotide ribosomal RNA is filed under the name uncultured bacterium. RNAcentral describes it as "bacterial SSU rRNA". It matches the Rfam family "Bacterial small subunit ribosomal RNA", at positions 28 to 507 of the family's 1533-position model. The record is from RNAcentral.
GAUGAACGCUAGCGGCAGGCCUAACACAUGCAAGUCGAGGGGUAACAUAGGAAAGCUUGCUUUUCUGAUGACGACCGGCGCACGGGUGCGUAACGCGUAUACAACCUACUUUUUAGCGGGGAAUAGCCCAGGGAAACUUGGAUUAAUGCCCCAUAGUAUAUAGACUUCUCCUGAAGUUUAUAUUAAACAUUUAUGGCUAUUAGAUGGGUAUGCGUCCUAUUAGUUAGUUGGUAAGGUAACGGCUUACCAAGGCAGCGAUAGGUAGGGGUCCUGAGAGGGAGAUCCCCACACUGGUACUGAGACACGGACCAGACUCCUACGGGAGGCAGCAGUGAGGAAUAUUGGACAAUGGGCGAGAGCCUGAUCCAGCCAUGCCGCGUGCAGGAAGACUGCCCUAUGGGUUGUAAACUGCUUUUACAGAGGAAGAACCACCCCCACGUGUGGGGGUUUGACGGUACUCUGCGAAUAAGGAUCGGCUAACUCCGUG